RNAcentral lists this small RNA (28 nucleotides) under Bombyx mori (domestic silkworm). RNAcentral's name for it is "piRNA piR-bmo-1652680". The record is from RNAcentral. Lineage: Eukaryota; Metazoa; Arthropoda; Insecta; Lepidoptera; Bombycidae.
UACGCGCAUGGAUGACGGUGACGUUUUG